RNAcentral lists this ribosomal RNA (196 nucleotides) under Ligilactobacillus animalis. Its description in RNAcentral is "Lactobacillus animalis partial 23S ribosomal RNA". It matches the Rfam family "Bacterial large subunit ribosomal RNA", at positions 2732 to 2925 of the family's 2925-position model. Lineage: Bacteria; Bacillati; Bacillota; Bacilli; Lactobacillales; Lactobacillaceae. The record is from RNAcentral.
AGGGCAUCGCUGGGUAGCUAUGUAUGGAUGAGAUAAACGCUGAAAGCAUCUAAGUGCGAAACUCACCUCGAGAUAAGAUUUCCCAUUCCUUUAUGGAAGUAAGACCCCUGAGAGAUGAUCAGGUAGAUAGGAUGGAAGUGGAAGUACGGUGACGUAUGGAGCGGACCAUUACUAAUCGGUCGAGGACUUAACCAAG